UUGUUGUCUCACUUUCUAGUAGAUGUCCCUUUUCUCAUAAUUUGGGAGGCAUCUUCUGCUGGCACUAAUUGGCUGAGAUGUGGGACAGGUUGCAUUUGAACAAUGAACAAUGAUGAUGCUAAAAGUCUGUAAUCAACACGAGCUUCAGCUACUCUCAUUACUAGCUCUUGAAGGGAUUCUUCAGACUCAGCAAGAACAAGACGAUCAUCAGAUUACAGCAUCUGCUUCCUCCAAUUUCAGAUUUCCCCCUGUAGCCAACAACAAGGAUGCACAUUUGCAUUUGAGUGUGCAGACUGAAAGGACACACGGCAGGCAGUACAGCAGGGGUACUGUCUCUUACACGGGCUUCUUGGGAAUCAAACCAGGACCUGUCUAUGGUCUAGCCUGGUCUGCAUACCUGAAAGAAAGGGAGGUGAUACCUGAGCCAUAUUACUCACCAGACAAGUCUUGAGAGAAGCCUGUCCACUACUGACUCCUACAGUGGAAAAGAAGACUUAGGGCAGAUGAGGAAACAGAGGUCCAAAAAGAUUAAAUGACUUACACAAGAUCAAAUACACAAUAAAUACUAGAAGCUCUGACUCA
This 582-nucleotide long non-coding RNA is filed under the name Monodelphis domestica (gray short-tailed opossum). Its description in RNAcentral is "lncRNA (ENSMODG00000037495.1)". Lineage: Eukaryota; Metazoa; Chordata; Mammalia; Didelphimorphia; Didelphidae. The record is from RNAcentral.